RNAcentral lists this ribosomal RNA (889 nucleotides) under uncultured bacterium. RNAcentral's name for it is "bacterial SSU rRNA". It matches the Rfam family "Bacterial small subunit ribosomal RNA", at positions 29 to 917 of the family's 1533-position model. The record is from RNAcentral.
AUGAACGCUGGCGGCGUGCCUAAUACAUGCAAGUCGAACGAAUCUCUUCGGAGAUGAGUGGCGAACGGGUGAGUAAUACAUAGGUAACCUGCCCCUGUGCGGGGGAUAACAGGAGGAAACUCCUGCUAAUACCGCAUAGCCAUGAGCACCGCAUGGAGCUCAUGCCAAAUAUCCUUUCGGGGAUAGCGCAGGGAUGGACCUAUGGCGCAUUAGCUUGUUGGCGGGGCAACGGCCCACCAAGGCAACGAUGCGUAGCCGGCCUGAGAGGGCGGACGGCCACAUUGGGACUGAGACACGGCCCAGACUCCUACGGGAGGCAGCAGUAGGGAAUUUUCGGCAAUGGGGGAAACCCUGACCGAGCAACGCCGCGUGAGCGAAGAAGGCCUUCGGGUCGUAAAGCUCUGUUGUAAAGGAAGAACGGCGCAUACAGGAAAUGGUAUGCGAGUGACGGUACUUUACCAGAAAGCCACGGCUAACUACGUGCCAGCAGCCGCGGUAAUACGUAGGUGGCGAGCGUUAUCCGGAAUCAUUGGGCGUAAAGAGGGAGCAGGCGGCCGCAAGGGUCUGUGGUGAAAGACCGAAGCUAAACUUCGGUAAGCCAUGGAAACCGGGCGGCUAGAGUGCGGAAGAGGAUCGUGGAAUUCCAUGUGUAGCGGUGAAAUGCGUAGAUAUAUGGAGGAACACCAGUGGCGAAGGCGACGGUCUGGGCCGCAACUGACGCUCAUUCCCGAAAGCGUGGGGAGCAAAUAGGAUUAGAUACCCUAGUAGUCCACGCCGUAAACGAUGGUCACUAAGUGUCGGGGGUCAAACCCCGGUGCUGCAGUCAACGCAAUAAGUGACCCGCCUGAGUAGUACGUUCGCAAGAAUGAAACUCAAAGGAAUUGACGGA